GGGAAAAAAGUGGGGUGAGGGGACAACCUAAACGUCCGCCAGGACAGGACCAGUGAAUUUAUAGGUCACCUUACGGUGUAACACUCUAUCGACCUUUCUUCACCAAGGCCCUAAAUCCAUGACAUAGCUUGUGGCCUUUGGGCUUAAAGUGAGAAAGGCAAGAUGGACAGCAGAGUGCAUAGUUUAUCUCUUUUGUGUAAACAAAAAUGAUACCUAUCUGGUUGCUUAUCUGUGCAGAAUGUUAGGUGAGCCAAGGCUGGCCAUGGGGCCCAGUCUGGAGCUUUGAGAUGAGUAACAGGAAUAUGCCUCAAUUCCUGGGGUCCAGCUCAUGCAGAUAAAGGCCAGAGGCAGGUCCUCUUUUGGUGCAAGCCAGGCAAGACUGGUCUUUCUUGCCUCGGGCCCUUUCCCUUCUCAUAGAUGGAGCCCCGCUAAUUUGUCAGGUUGAGGAUGGAUUUAGCGUUUGUUCCACGGGAAUGAAGUCAGUAGGAAAGCAAACCUGUGGGAAUUGCCAAUUGGUGCCGACUCCUCCUCCACAUGGCUGCUGUCCCACCAGCCCUCAUCUGGGACUGUUUCAGGCCUUUGCUGUGCGUUUACAAAUAAAACCAGGCUGCUCUGGGCACGCUUCCGAGGUGAUGCCUGGAGCCUCGCACACUUGGGCCAAAGAUUGAUACGGUGUGUGCACGCCUGGGCCGAUACACCUCUUUUGAUCUGUUUCCGAAGGCAACCUUUGGUCUCCUGCUUCACGUGAUUGAUUAAGUUAGGAUCUCUUUUAGGAAUUCUCCGCACUCAUGCCUCCUCACCAGCUCACAGCGAGCCCUGCCAAAUUUUACUCUCCUUUUAUGCUGCAGACUGUUCUGUUCCAACUGACUAAAUGGAAACUGUGUUCUUAAUAUGCAACCCGUUACCUAGUCCUUUACAUGCAAUCAGUUACCUUGGAAUUCCUGUUUUGCAUUUAGUAUGGUGGGGCACCCUCUUAUCACAUCAUCAGUCAUGUUUCUAGCAAGGUUUUGGCCUAUGAGUAGGGAGUAGCUUUGCUUCAGAGCCUUCCUUCCCCUGUGCAUCCCUGCCCUUCCCCCGACCCCCCGCCUCCUGCCCAUUUUGGUGUGAGAGUCACUGGGGAAUCAGGGUGAUAGCAUUUGUAUUAAAACAAGCCAGCGCACAUGGCUGUAGACCCUUAAGGAUCGUGGAAUGUAAGCAGACUCAUGCUAUGUUCUUUAGGCGCCGGCUGGAGAAGGGACCCUGGUUCGACGGGUCCUGGUGGAAUGGCGAUCCAAGGUGUUUCGAAGAGUUUUCCGGUCAUACAGACCUGAUUUAAACUCCUGCUCAAGCACAAUGUUUGCUGCUUUUUUUAAAAAAAAAAAAAAAGAGGGGGGGAUCCUAUCUUCCAUCUUGCACACGUGGGGAGGGAGACAGAAGCCCACAAGUGAAAGUAGAAGCACGUUCCCAGAUCCAUUUCUAAGACCUCCUUCUAUCACCUGGAACUUACAUUCUCUUUUCAAAGUGGCCCAUCCUGUAACCUACGUGAGACUGGCCCUCAGUGAAAUGUCCUAUCUGGAGCUCUUCCCUCCUUUGCUGUGGUGCUCACAACUCCUGGUACCCCACUCACUGUAUACCCAAGCCUUUCCUUCGGUCUCGCUGGACCUCUGGCGACGUCUUGUUCAGAUGUUCCAGUCUGGUCUUAGCUCUGCUCUGAGAGAUGCAAGCUGGAUAAAAGCAGUAAUGGUGCAGACCCCUCAAGAAGGGAGGGAGGUCCAGCCAUACCUCCUCGUGACGUCCUUUUCCAAACUCGUGCCAUCUGGGUUUCAUUUUAUUAGGGGAGCUAGAGGUGUGCAGGGAGGGCUGGUUAGGAAAUGAGGCUACGUCUGGCAGGGUGUUGGUGACUAUGGUAGGGAUUUUGGAUCUUAUUUUAGGCACAAGGAAAAGCCAGGAAAGGGUUUGGGGUAGUGAACUGACAUGGUUUGAUUUAUGAUUUUUUUAAUUUAUUUAUUAUUAUUAUUGUGCUUUUUAGGGCUGCACCUGUAGCAUAUGGAGACUCCCAGGCUAGGGGUCCAGUCGGAGCCACAGCCAUAGCAACACAGGGUCCUAUACCACAGCUCACUGCAAUGCCAGAUCCUUAACCCACUGAGCAAGGCCAGGGAUCGAACCCGCACCUCAUGAAUACUAGCUGGCUUCAUCUCCGCUGAGCCACAAUAGAAAUUCCAUGAUUUAUGAUUUUAAAACAUCCCUAGGACUGCUGUGUGGAGAAGAGAGAAUAGGGGACAAGACGGCUACAAGAAGAGCAGCUGAAUGGCUGCAGCACUCAGGCAAGAGAUGUUGACUGGCUUUGUGUGCUGUUCAAGCGGUGAGAAGUCAUCAGACUCAGGAUGUGCUUUGAAGAUAAAGCCCACAGGCCUCGUGAAGGACAGCAUGUCAGGUGUGAGGGAGAAUGAGCACUCAGGGCCUGAGCAGCUGGGUGAAUGGCCAUGCUGUUUACUAAGAAGGGGAGAGGCGGGGGCAGAGCUGGUUUGGGACAAGAAUCAAGAGGUAGGUUUUAAGCAUGGAAACUUUGGGAUAUUUAUCAGACAUCCAAGUAUCCAGAGCUCAGGAAGAGGCUGAGUCUAGACAUACAAAUAUGAGCAUCCUUAGCACAUUGAUAAUAUCGGGGCCAUGGGUGGAGUUACUCAGAGAUUGCAUGUAGGUAGAGAAGAGAGGAGGUCCAAGGACUGAACAUGGGUCACUCCUACACUUAUAAAUUUGGACGAGGAGAAAGAGCUACCCCCAAGCUCACUGCCCUGCUCUAGCAGUUUUGUGGAAGUCUCUGCCUGGUUUCCUGGGGCCUCCCAGUCCAGAACUAAGCCCUAUAUAUUAGUGACAGGCUCCUGACCCAAAAUGACCUUGAGUAUCUCGUGGAUUUAGUUCUGGCCCAGGUCCUGGUGGCUUCUUCCUUUAAGCUGGAACCAGAGGUCCCAAGCGGCCGUUUGGCCUCCUUUGCAACCCGGGAGCCUGCCUCUAGACUGAGACCAGCAAACAAAUGGCUUCACCCACUUAUGCUACUGUCUUUCCAUUUUGUGUCUGAACCACAGAGUUGAUUAUUUUGCCUUAGAAAGAAGAUAUGAAUAUGUUGUGACUUCUUAACUUUAUCUGUCAUGCUAUGUGCUUGGGGACUGUGGAGCCAGACGUCUGCCAGGCAAGGGGCAUUGCCAUUUUGCCUGGGGCACCAACAUUUUGAUUUUUAAGAGCUUGUCUAUGGUUCAGCCCCUAAGUCACUCACUUAUAUAAUGUUUAUUGACAGAUAACUGUGAACAAUUAUGAAAUACAGAGUAAGAUAUGGUUCUUGCUCUGCAGGAGCUUAAAAUCAAGCCAGGCAGUUGAAAGCCACAAACGUCACCUGAGGAAUGACAUCCGAGUGUGCAUUCCUCUGUGGAUCUGCGCAGGCACAGUGCCGAGCACAUAGAAGAUUCUCAACACCUGUGAAAGGAACAAGCCCACCGGGGUGAUCAUUGCCCAGAGGCACAGAUUGUCAGUCACAGAUGCCACCAGAGCCAGGGAGGAGGAGAAGGCAAGGGCCGCGCGCGGUCGGAGAAAGUGGAGGGAGAUGACAUUGGAAGCCACGAGAAGGAGAUGGAUGUUUUAGAGGGACCCCGGGCCUGCUGAUGCGCAAGGCAGUCUGUGCCUGCCCGGGCAUGGAGGCACUGCCCUGGAGUGAUCUUGGCCGUCCCAGCAGGGACACUGCCAGUGUACCAGCCCGUGCAUUAUCCCGCAAGACAGGAGGAAGUCAAGCUCCAUCCUUCAGACCUGGGCCCCUGAGCCUAGGUGGCUGCCGAUGCUGCCGAGGGGCAAACACAGAUGUUCACAGAGCCCAGUGGAGGACCUGGACGUUGGGAGGAGACGGCACUUCAGUCACUCAUGCGAACCCAUCUGAGUGCUGCAGGGGUCUUGGCUCCAAUUCGUUUUAUUUCCUCCCUCACAAGAACAAGAUCCCAAUUUAAAACAAAUGCUCAGUUUACCAAACAGAAAAGGAAAACAGUAGAUGAUAAGACAAAACAAAAAAGAGCAUGUUCUCAGCCAUCUUUGUUCUAUUAUCGCCAUAUUUUGUCUUCCAAAAGAAGCAUCUUUACAUGCAAAUCCAUUUUUGUAUAUUUUGACUGAUUGCUGGCAAGAUAGAGAGACAUAAAUAUUUCUGGAAAU
Molecule: long non-coding RNA, 4167 nt
Filed under: Sus scrofa (pig)
Lineage: Eukaryota; Metazoa; Chordata; Mammalia; Artiodactyla; Suidae
Description: lncRNA (ENSSSCG00000060318.1)
Source: RNAcentral